Long non-coding RNA from Manis javanica (Malayan pangolin), 2227 nucleotides. RefSeq lists it as uncharacterized. The record is from RefSeq and is a predicted model, not a curated record. NCBI's taxonomy places the organism in Eukaryota, Metazoa, Chordata, Mammalia, Pholidota, Manidae.
UGCAAUUGGAUAAAUGGUAAAGAAUACAGUGUGUUUGAACUGAUGAUCAUUUGAACUGAUGGAAACUAAAAGCAAAUUUUGUACUUAAUUCAGUUUAUAUUCUACAGAUUACCCCCAAAGAAAAGUUCAUGAAUUUUGAAGAUCCAUGAUAAGUCACGUUCAGUUUUAAGGAUAUUUACUCAAUUAAUCAUUUCCAUCAAUAAUCUCAAGUGGGAAUGAUAUCCAAGGAAUUGUGACAUAUAGUUGAAAUCUACAUUUUUCAAAUACAGUGGAUUUAGAAAUAUAAACACACAUAAAAAUAAAACAAUCCAGUGGUUAAAUGAAAUACUUCCUGCUAGUUUUUUUUUUGUGUGUGUGUGCGCUUUCCCAGGUAAUGUUUAAAGUGAUUCUGGAAAGUAGUCACAAAAUUACGUUCACUUAAUUUGCUGACCUGGAGACAGAGAACAAGAAGGUAAGAAACAAGAGGCAAGAGAAAGAAAGAAAAUGACAAAAGCAUAGUAAUUAUACUCUUCUAAGCAGUUUUGAAAAGGGUUAAUGUUAUUUGAUCUUGAUAUAAUUCCAUCCUUCUCUCCUUAAACAGAUAUCCAACAAAGGUCUGUGGACCGGAAUGCAAAGUUUUAUAUCUUAAAAGCAAUUUAUCUCACUAGUCCUUAAAAUUCUGAAGUCAUUGAGAAAUAUAAACUGAAAGGCUUUUUGAGCAGCAUUUUUCCUAUAUGGAAAUAAAAGGGAUGAAAGCAAAAUACAAACUUUGACAUUUGACUGCAUUUAUAAUCUGGACACAUUUGGUAAACAUUUUGAUAAUGUGGAGUUUAAGUUUAAACAAAUGACAAAGAUAUGUCCAAAACUUGGGUUUCUUAACUUAAACUUUACAUCUGAUCUGUUAUAUCCCUAAACUUUUACAUCAUGUUGCCAAAAAAACAAUAUUUAAUUAACUCAAGAAUCAAUAGUUCCAAUGAGCAGAGUUCUGUAGUUUAAUCACAGAACAAGGAAAAGAGAAUUAAACUAAAUUGAUAGUUGGGGUGUGCAUUUUAUUUGUUCAAACUCUUUUCUUUUCUUUUUUUUUGUGCUCAACAAAUUUUGAAGGAUAUUCUACCAGCUCUUUUUAUUUUUCCAAUGGGAACUUAACUAAGGCAAACAAUUCCCAUCAAUUUUUUUCAGUUCCACCUGUAGUAUUAAAAUACAUUCUGUGAGCAUGUGGUAUCAGAUCUAUUGUAGGUGCAGGAAUUUAGAAAAACAGGGUCAUUGCUGUCUAAAAGCCCUAUUCAGUGGGAAAUACACACACAGAAUACAUAACGGAUUUAAGCUGUCUGUCACAAAUGCCAUAGCAAAGGUAUCUGGAAAGCACUAUGAAAAUAUCUGGGACAGAAAGAUAAUGAUCACUUUAGGGAAUGGUCAGACUUCUCAGGAGAUAGCAGUUAGGCUGGUUUUCAACAGGGGCUGGCAGGGCCGGACAAGUAACUAUGGGGGAUUAAGAAAGACUCAAAAGUUGCAACAAGAAGUAAUAAUUGAAAGCAGGGCCCAUUCUCAGAACAAAAAGUAAAUUGGAUUGGGCUCUUUCACCUUCUACCAUUCAGUUUUUCCCAUCCUUUUAAAUGUCAUAAUCCGGCAGCUGGGAAGCAGCCAUCCCCCGUUUUGCUGCACCAGUGUCUGCACUCAUGCUUCUGAGCGAGGGAUUGUCUAGGGCUUGCAUGAAACCAAAGCUCUUGGCAGUAGGCCCACUUUUUAGGAUGACAAUAAGAACCUGUCCUUUUUGCUCUCAGUUGCUCUGUUCAGAGUUUGGGCACUAGAUUGUUCACCUCUGAAGAACAGCUUGAAGAUGUGGCUCAUACGCUCUGGGGGGUGUAGCAAAUGAUCUCACAACUCAUAUGGUCUUAUAAACCUGUUCUGCAGGCUUCCACAUCUCAGCUGUCAGAAUCAAUGCCUUUGAAAACAUAAAUCAGUUCUAUAAUGUUUAUUUCUUUUAAAAUCUGCCAAGAAUAGUGGUAUCUUUCUCCAUUCUAGGGGAGAAACAGUGCAAUGAAGAUAUUCAUCACACAGCUUGAAUGAAAGAUGACUGGAAAAGAAGUAAACUAUACAUUUGGUCAUUUGUGAAGACUGUACAAAAGGAAAGAAGAGCACAGGCAACGUUAAACAAAAAAACCCAACAAUUUCACAAGUUCUCUUUCACUCUGUGACUGUUUUCAAAACAUUCCUUUCAGUCAAAUAAAAUGACAAGCAUAAUUUUAAA